AGAGUUUGAUCAUGGCUCAGAGCGAACGCUGGCGGCAGGCCUAACACAUGCAAGUCGAGCGCCCCGCAAGGGGAGCGGCAGACGGGAGAGUAACACGUGGGAACGUACCCUUUGGUUCGGAACAACCCAGGGAAACUUGGGCUAAUACCGAAUAAGCCCUUACGGGGAAAGAUUUAUCGCCGAAGGAUCGGCCCGCGUCUGAUUAGCUAGUUGGUGAGGUAACGGCUCACCAAGGCGACGAUCAGUAGCUGGUCUGAGAGGAUGAUCAGCCUCACUGGGACUGAGACACGGCCCAGACUCCUACGGGAGGCAGCAGUGGGGAAUAUUGGACAAUGGGCGCAAGCCUGAUCCAGCCAUGCCGCGUGGGUGAUGAAGGCCCUAGGGUUGUAAAGCCCUUUCGGCGGGGAAGAUAAUGACGGUACCCGCAGACGAAGCCCCGGCUAACUUCGUGCCAGCAGCGGCGGUAAUUC
Molecule: ribosomal RNA, 470 nt
Filed under: uncultured bacterium
Lineage: Bacteria
Description: bacterial SSU rRNA
Rfam family: Bacterial small subunit ribosomal RNA
Source: RNAcentral